CACACCGACUUUGGUGCCGAAAUCCCACCCUUGUAGCCAAUGCGUCGGCCUCUCUGGUCAGUGUUCCCAGUGUGUCACAGAUGGGCUACGACAGAAACAAGAUGGACACACACCUUUCCAUGAUGUCCAAGUGAUGAAAAAUGGCCUCCGAGGGAAACCGUGAGAGCGACCACCACGCAGCUGCGGGUGAAGCCGGGGAGCUUUCAAGUCCCGAAGAUCUGCGUUCAAAUCCGGUUCUGCCUUAUACCUUUCAUAUGACCCUGCAGAAGGCACUCAGCUGAGGACAUCCCAAACCUGACAAUGUCACACACCCGAAAGUUUGAGGCCUGUCCAGACUCCCAGCUCUCGUCCUGUCACCUGUAACAGAAUGAGACCCAGCCUCCACUUCACGACAACAUCCAUGACUGCCUUAGUGUGCUUCGAAGUCAAGGACGUCCCGAGACCACAGAACCAGUCUGAGCUUCUGGCCCAGCAGCACGCUUGCAGGUGGCAUAAAGUAGGCUCCCCGGCAGAGUCACACUCCCACCAGCAGGAAGAAGAUGGACAAAGAGACUCUCCUGUAGAAGGGCACAACCUGGAAGUCAGACCGUCCCUUCUCUUCCUACUGACCAGAAUGCAGCCAUGUGACCAACUCAAACCAUGGACAUGUGAGAAGGCAAGUGCUUAGUCAGGCACAAGUGCCCAUGAAGAACAGGUCAACUUUCUAACCACAACUCGUGACCAGUGUGUGGAGUGGGUACCCCAGAUGCCACAAGACGCACGGCUGCUGAUAUCACCAUUAGCAGAGUUUUGAGCAAAACAAAUACGAACUCCCCCUUGACCACGUUGUUGAGAAUCCCUGGAAGGCAGCUGUGUCUGCAGAACUGACUGGUUAGCACUGAGCUGGCGCGGAGAGGUUGGAACGUGACAGGUUCAGAAGCUAAUUACCUUAUCUCGGGCUGGUCCUCGUCCUCUGCAGCAGCCGUUCCUUGCCCGCCUCUGUGUGUGAACUAACAACGUAGGACUAACAGAUGACUGGAAUCUAACUCAGCUUCCACCAACCCCAAAGCUAGGAAUGUCAUCAGACAGCAUCGGAGGCCUGUAGAAAAGCUUCCCCAUCUCUCUGCAGCCGCCUUUCUGUUGUUCCCACCCAUGUACUCUAAACCUGCCUUGAUUCAUGACUUUCUCUGUUCUGUAAAGCUAUAAAAACGUCAUGAAACUGCUUCCACUUUGGAACAUGGAAUUUAGGGUAACCUAAAUCUGCAUUCCCUGGCGAGGGUCACUCAAAAUGGCUACAGAAUAAACUGCCUCUUAUCCCCUUUAGGGUAAGAGUUGUCAUUUUGGUUUGGUGUUUUGCCUUGAGAGUUAACGCCAUGGCCACCGCCCAUCUGCUUCCUGGUCCCCUGCCAUGUGAGUGGCCUCCACUCCACACCACUGCUACCAUGCCCAGGGCUGCUCCCCCCUCCACCACCACCCCGAGCCUUGUCGCUGUGAUGGACUGAAAUUCUCUGAGACCAUGAGGCAGAGAUUCUUUCCUCCCCCAAGUUUCUCCAUCAGGCUUUUUAGGUACAGCAAUUCAAAAGUCACCAACACACCAGGAAAGCGAGGAACUGUCUAAACUGGGCCAUCGCUGGUCCCACGUAAAGUGGAGCUUCCAUUGGGAUUGAUGAUAUAAAAUAGCAAUUCUGCUUUGAAGAAGGAAGGAAACCGUUUGUUGUAAGCCACAGAUGAGCAGCCCUGAGCCAGAACACUGAUCCAGCCGAACCUGAUUGCUCUGCCAGCUUUAGAGCCACGGGUAAAGGAAAGUUAUGAACAAGUCAAGGUGUUUGUCAAUACAUUGGAGGGGAAGGAGCAUAAGGAGGCGGGGAAACUGGGGCCAGGACCUGAGAAGAGAGAGAUGCCCUCACUCUGGGAUCCUGCUGAAGCCUUCUCCAGCAGUGAAGCGGGAAUUCUGCAACAGUAACCAAUGACUCCAGGGCCUUCUCCCUUCCCACGAUGCACCUGCAGACUUCCAGAGAUCUCUCUAGAAACCCUGUUUGCAGAGAGAGAAGAGGUGGGAUGGAGAGGUUUCUUAGCAACUGCUGAGAUGUAACUUGAGAACCUCUCUCUCUCUCUCUCUCUCUCUCUCUCUCUCUCUCUCUCUGUCUCUCUCUGUCUCUCUCUCUCUCUCUGAAAAGCCCAUCCCCACCUAGGGCAGGUCUUACUUUCCCUUCUCCUCUUGGGAAGCCCAUCCUCCACCAUGAAUGUCUUAGUCUCUUCUAAGCACCUCUUUCUUCUCCUAACCCCCACACUCA
Molecule: long non-coding RNA, 2273 nt
Organism: Peromyscus californicus insignis
Lineage: Eukaryota; Metazoa; Chordata; Mammalia; Rodentia; Cricetidae
Exons: 5
Source: RefSeq, a predicted model, not a curated record